Molecule: ribosomal RNA, 419 nt
Filed under: uncultured Prevotella sp.
Lineage: Bacteria; Pseudomonadati; Bacteroidota; Bacteroidia; Bacteroidales; Prevotellaceae
Description: bacterial SSU rRNA
Rfam family: Bacterial small subunit ribosomal RNA
Source: RNAcentral
GGAAUAUUGGUCAAUGGGCGAGAGCCUGAACCAGCCAAGUAGCGUGCAGGAUGACGGCCCUAUGGGUUGUAAACUGCUUUUAUAUAGGGAUAAAGUCGGGGACGUGUCCCCGUUUGUAGGUACUAUAUGAAUAAGGACCGGCUAAUUCCGUGCCAGCAGCCGCGGUAAUACGGAAGGUCCGGGCGUUAUCCGGAUUUAUUGGGUUUAAAGGGAGCGCAGGCGGGUGCUUAAGCGUGCUGUGAAAUGUACCGGCUCAACCGGUGACGUGCAGCGCGAACUGGGGGCCUUGAGUGAGUGCGAGGUAUGCGGAAUUCGUGGUGUAGCGGUGAAAUGCUUAGAUAUCACGAGGAACCCCGAUUGCGAAGGCAGCUGACGAGGCCUUUACUGACGCUAAAGCUCGAAGGUGCGGGUAUCGAACA